AGCGGCGAACGGGUGAGGAACACGUGAGAAAUCUGCCUUCAACACUGGGAUAACUCCGGGAAACCGGGGCUAAUACCGGAUAUGAAAUCUGCGGGCAUCCGCGGAUUUGGAAAGUUUUUCGGUUGAAGAUGAUCUCGCGGCCUAUCAGCUUGUUGGUGAGGUAAUGGCUCACCAAGGCGACGACGGGUAGCCGGCCUGAGAGGGCGACCGGCCACACUGGGACUGAGACACGGCCCAGACUCCUACGGGAGGCAGCAGUGGGGAAUAUUGGGCAAUGGAGGAAACUCUGACCCAGCGACGCCGCGUGCGGGAUGAAGGCCUUCGGGUUGUAAACCGCUUUCAGCAGGGAAGAAGCGAAAGUGACGGUACCUGCAGAAGAAGCACCGGCUAACUAUGUGCCAGCAGCCGCGGUAAUACAUAGGGUGCAAGCGUUGUCCGGAAUUAUUGGGCGUAAAGAGCUCGUAGGUGGUUCGUCACGUCGGAUGUGAAACUCUGGGGCUUAACCCCAGACCUGCAUUCGAUACGGGCGAGCUUGAGUAUGGUAGGGGAGUCUGGAAUUCCUGGUGUAGCGGUGGAAUGCGCAGAUAUCAGGAGGAACACCAAUGGCGAAGGCAGGACUCUGGGCCAUUACUGACACUGAGGAGCGAAAGCGUGGGGAGCGAACAGGAUUAGAUACCCUGGUAGUCCACGCCGUAAACGGUGGGCACUAGUUGUGGGGACCUUCCACGGUCUCUGCGACGCAGCU
RNAcentral lists this ribosomal RNA (745 nucleotides) under uncultured bacterium. RNAcentral's name for it is "bacterial SSU rRNA". It matches the Rfam family "Bacterial small subunit ribosomal RNA", at positions 94 to 853 of the family's 1533-position model. The record is from RNAcentral.